RNAcentral lists this transfer RNA (85 nucleotides) under Sphingomonas jeddahensis. RNAcentral describes it as "tRNA-Val". The record is from RNAcentral. Lineage: Bacteria; Pseudomonadati; Pseudomonadota; Alphaproteobacteria; Sphingomonadales; Sphingomonadaceae.
GAAGCCGGUUGCCUGAAGGCGGGUUACAGUGCCGGCUUUGACGUAGCUGGGGCUGCCGCCGGUUCGCGCGCCGACCUUGCUCCAC